GACGAACGCUGGCGGCUUUCUUAACACAUGCAAGUCGAACGGAAAGGCCCUGCUUUUGUGGGGUGCUCGAGUGGCGAACGGGUGAGUAACACGUGAGUAACCUGCCCUUGACUUUGGGAUAACUUCAGGAAACUGGGGCUAAUACCGGAUAGGAGCUCCUGCUGCAUGGUGGGGGUUGGAAAGUUUCGGCGGUUGGGGAUGGACUCGCGGCUUAUCAGCUUGUUGGUGGGGUAGUGGCUUACCAAGGCUUUGACGGGUAGCCGGCCUGAGAGGGUGACCGGCCACAUUGGGACUGAGAUACGGCCCAGACUCCUACGGGAGGCAGCAGUGGGGAAUAUUGCACAAUGGGCGGAAGCCUGAUGCAGCAACGCCGCGUGCGGGAUGACGGCCUUCGGGUUGUAAACCGCUUUCGCCUGUGACGAAGCGUGAGUGACGGUAAUGGGUAAAGAAGCACCGGCUAACUACGUG
RNAcentral lists this ribosomal RNA (468 nucleotides) under uncultured bacterium. RNAcentral's name for it is "partial 16S ribosomal RNA". It matches the Rfam family "Bacterial small subunit ribosomal RNA", at positions 28 to 507 of the family's 1533-position model. The record is from RNAcentral.